CUUGGUCAUUUAGAGGAAGUAAAAGUCGUAACAAGGUCUCCGUAGGUGAACCUGCGGAGGGAUCAUCAUAGGAAAAACAUAUUUCAUAUGUGUGUGUGUGUGUGUGUGAGGGGGGGGGGAAAGAGGAGAUUUGGCUUGGCUUGGUUAGGAGUUGUGUUUGGUGUGUAUUCGCGCCAUUCUCAUACUCUGCACCUUUUCUUGCUUGCUUGCUUGCUUUCUCUCCUUUACACAUGCGCAUAUAUAUAUAUCAAACAAACGAUCGCAACUAUGUGAUAUUUUAGCAAACUGUGGAGAUAUGGGGAUGAGGAGGAAAAAGAUUGACCUGCUUCUUUUUCUCUCUCUCUCUCUCUCGCGCUCUAUCUGAAAAAAGUGCUUGCCUGAUACUGAAGAAUGUGUCAAUGCCGCCGCCAUUGAGCAAUCGAUGGUGUGUGUUGAUAUAUGAAUUGGAACAAGAAAUACAACUUUCAACAACGGAUCUCUUGGCUCUCACAUCGAUGAAGAACAUAGCAAAGUGUGAAAAUUAAUGUGAAUUGCAGAAUUCAGUGAAUCAUUGAGUUUUUGAACGCAUCUUGCACUUUUUGGUUAUUCCAAAGAGUAUGCCUGGUUGAGCAAUGUGAAUAUAUCUUAUCAGAGUCAUAUGCAAUGGCUUUGGAGUUGAGUGGUGUUUUACCUUGUUGUUGGAGUCUUUUUCUCAAAGUCUGAGAAAUUGGACAGCGAGAGGAGGAGGACGACUAUAAUAUAAAAGGUUCACUUGAAAUGAAGGGAAAUCAGUAAAACACAGACAAGGAGCUUCUUGGCUUGUGNAAAAGACAGGCAGAUUGAUUUGGAAAGAGAAUGGCUUGUUUUAACAACAAUGACUUGAUUAGUUGGUUUUGUGUCUUGGUGUUGGUUGAUUUGAAUCGCAUAAAAAGUCUUGUUUAGAGCUGUUUCUGCUGCUGCUGCUUGCUUUCUUUCUUUUUCUCUGGCAAAACAAGUUGCUAUCCAAACCUUGGCUUUUUUUGUUUUCUUUCCCACAACUAGGAAUGUUGUAGGCACAUACAUGUAUGUAUGUACCCACACCAAACCAUCAUUCUCAACUCAGGCAAGACUACCCGCUGAAUUUAAGCAUAUCAAUAAGCGGAGGA
Molecule: ribosomal RNA, 1124 nt
Filed under: uncultured Basidiomycota
Lineage: Eukaryota; Fungi; Basidiomycota
Description: eukaryotic LSU rRNA
Rfam family: 5.8S ribosomal RNA (bases 460-614)
Source: RNAcentral